Molecule: transfer RNA, 88 nt
Filed under: Chloroflexota bacterium
Lineage: Bacteria; Bacillati; Chloroflexota
Also listed under: 2 other names
Description: Chloroflexi bacterium tRNA-Ser
Rfam family: tRNA
About the family: Transfer RNA (tRNA) molecules are approximately 80 nucleotides in length. Their secondary structure includes four short double-helical elements and three loops (D, anti-codon, and T loops).
Source: RNAcentral
GGGGAGGUCGCAUAGUGGCCUAGUGCGCGGCACUGGAAAUGCCGUAUGGUGAAAGCCAUCGAGAGUUCAAAUCUCUCUCUCCCCGCCA